This 87-nucleotide transfer RNA is filed under the name Verrucomicrobiales bacterium. RNAcentral describes it as "tRNA-Leu". It matches the Rfam family "tRNA". From Rfam's summary of the family: Transfer RNA (tRNA) molecules are approximately 80 nucleotides in length. Their secondary structure includes four short double-helical elements and three loops (D, anti-codon, and T loops). The record is from RNAcentral. Lineage: Bacteria; Pseudomonadati; Verrucomicrobiota; Verrucomicrobiia; Verrucomicrobiales.
GCCGAUGUGGCGGAAUUGGCAGACGCGCUAGACUCAAAAUCUGGUUCUCGCAAGGGAGUGGGGGUUCGAUCCCCUCCAUCGGCACCA